This 433-nucleotide ribosomal RNA is filed under the name uncultured bacterium. RNAcentral's name for it is "partial 16S ribosomal RNA". It matches the Rfam family "Bacterial small subunit ribosomal RNA", at positions 29 to 507 of the family's 1533-position model. The record is from RNAcentral.
AACGAACGCUGGCGGCAUGCCUAACACAUGCAAGUCGAACGAGACCUUCGGGUCUAGUGGCGCACGGGUGCGUAACGCGUGGGAACCUGCCCUUAGGUUCGGAAUAACUCCCCGAAAGGGGUGCUAAUACCGGAUAAUGUCUUCGGACCAAAGAUUUAUCGCCUUUGGAUGGGCCCGCGUUGGAUUAGCUAGUUGGUAGGGUAAAAGCCUACCAAGGCGACGAUCCAUAGCUGGUCUGAGAGGAUGAUCAGCCACACUGGGACUGAGACACGGCCCAGACUCCUACGGGAGGCAGCAGUGGGGAAUAUUGGACAAUGGGCGAAAGCCUGAUCCAGCAAUGCCGCGUGAGUGACGAAGGCCUUAGGGUUGUAAAGCUCUUUUACCCGGGAUGAUAAUGACAGUACCGGGAGAAUAAGCGCCGGCUAACUCCGUG